This 458-nucleotide ribosomal RNA is filed under the name uncultured bacterium. RNAcentral describes it as "partial 16S ribosomal RNA". It matches the Rfam family "Bacterial small subunit ribosomal RNA", at positions 340 to 795 of the family's 1533-position model. The record is from RNAcentral.
CACGGGAGGCAGCAGUGAGGAAUAUUUGUCAAUGGACGAGAGUCUGAACCAGCCAAGUAGCGUGAAGGAUGACUGCCCUAUGGGUUGUAAACUUCUUUUAUAUGGGAAUAAAAUUUUCCACGUGUGUGCUUUUGUAUGUACCAUAUGCAUACGGAUCGGCUAACUCCUUGCCAGCAGCCGCGGUACUACGGAGGAUCCGAGCGUUAUCCGGAUUUAUUGGGUUUAAAGGGAGCGUAGGUGGAUUGUUAAGUCAGUUGUGAAAGUUUGCGGCUCAACCGUAAAAUUGCAGUUGAGACUGGCAGUCUUGAGUACAGUAGAGGUGGGCGGAAUUCGUGGUGUAGCGGUGAAAUGCUUAGAUAUGACGAAGAACACCGAUUGCGAAGGCAGUUCACUGGACUGAAACUGACACUGAGGCUCGAAAGUGUGGGUAUCAAACAGGAUUAGAUACCCUAGUAGUC